UGAUAGCAUAUGGUUUGGCGGCAAUUGAAAAUAAGCUUAAGAAAGGGUUUACUAGACUAUUAACAAUGAGUUGCUCUCCAUUCUGAUACAGCACCCUAUCUAUAGUGACUGUCUACGUUUUGCCAGGGAGUGUUACUAGGUGAACAAGAAAUAGCAGAGAAAACAACUUUCAAAAUCCAAUGCUCAAGGGCUUGAGGAAUUCAAUGCAUUGCUUAAUUAUUUCAUUGAUUUUAAUUUUAUUAGAUUAGUUGAUAGAGUAGAUGUUAGUUAAUUUUAUUUUUAUGCAGUGUUUGAUGGGGUGCCUAGCCUAGCGGCCAUGCACAAGGUGCACAGCUACUAACCAUCUGGAACAAAAGGCUGCUAUGGCUUCUCAAAUUCUAUCCACAACUCCCUCCCUUUCUUUUCUCCUGCGCAUUUUACUAUCUAUACAUUAUGUAUAACACUAGUCCACUCUUGAGCUUCUUUCUUGUCCUUGGAAAACAGGAAACAAAGCUUAUACCCUUUCUGCUCUAUGGGCUGCAGAAUUGAAGAUUCUGUUUUCCUCUUCAUGGCAUCAUUAUUUCUCCUUGUCUCAGCGUGUGUGAAAAGUUAUCCUUUUCUUCUUCAUUUUUUUUCCUUUUUUAUGAAUUUCAUUAGUGUUUAUUUGGUUUAAUUCUCAGAACCCCAACCAAGGCCAAUCCAGAGUCUUUUAGUACCUAUUACUCCCCAUUACUCUUAGGUACGUUUAUUUCUCAAUCUAUGCAACUUGGUUGGAACUUUAAUGGCAGUUGGAGUUGCUUGAUUCUCUAUUGCAUGGUAAGUUCAUCACAUCAAUUUAGA
This 819-nucleotide unclassified non-coding RNA is filed under the name Hevea brasiliensis (rubber tree). The record is from RNAcentral. Lineage: Eukaryota; Viridiplantae; Streptophyta; Magnoliopsida; Malpighiales; Euphorbiaceae.